AUAUAUGACCACACCUCCCUGAAUGUGCCUGAUCUUGUCUGAUCUUGGAAGUUAAGCAGGCUCAGGCCUGGUUAGUACUUGGGUGGGAGAUUUAUACCUCAGUCUCAUCUAGU
RNAcentral lists this ribosomal RNA (113 nucleotides) under Oryctolagus cuniculus (rabbit). Lineage: Eukaryota; Metazoa; Chordata; Mammalia; Lagomorpha; Leporidae. The record is from RNAcentral.